This 441-nucleotide ribosomal RNA is filed under the name uncultured bacterium. RNAcentral describes it as "partial 16S ribosomal RNA". It matches the Rfam family "Bacterial small subunit ribosomal RNA", at positions 338 to 795 of the family's 1533-position model. The record is from RNAcentral.
CCUACGGGUGGCAGCAGUGGGGAAUAUUGCACAAUGGGGGAAACCCUGAUGCAGCAACGCCGCGUGAGGGAUGAAGUAUUUCGGUGUUGAAAGCUCUAUCAGCAGGGAAUUGAAAAGAAGCUACCUUAAAAAGAAGCCCCGGCUAACUACGUGCCAGCAGCCGCGGUAAUACGUAGGGGGCAAGCGUUAUCCGGAUUUACUGGGUGGAAAGGGAGCGUAGACGGUAAGGCAAGUCAGAAGUGAAAGCCUAAGGCUCAACCAUGGGAUUGCUUUUGAAACUGUCAAACUAGAGUACGGGAGAGGUAAGCGGAAUUCGUAGUGUAGCGGUGAAAUGCGUAGAUAUUAGGAGGAACACCAGUGGCGAAGGCGUCUUACUAGACCGAAACUGACGUUGAGGCUCGAAAGUGUGGGGAGCAAACAGGAUUAGAUACCCGGGUAGUC